CCUACGGGAGGCAGCAGUGAGGAAUAUUGGUCAAUGGGCGGGAGCCUGAACCAGCCAAGCCGCGUGCGGGAAGAAGGUACAGCGUAUCGUAAACCUCUUUUGUCAGGGAACAAAGGCGGGGACUAGUCCCCGGCUGAGGGUACCUGAAGAAAAAGCAUCGGCUAACUCCGUGCCAGCAGCCGCGGUAAUACGGGGGAUGCGAGCGUUAUCCGGAUUUAUUGGGUUUAAAGGGUGCGGAGGCGGCCUGUUAAGUCAGCGGUAAAAGCACGGGGCUCAACCCCGGCGAGCCGUUGAAACUGGCGGGCUGGAGUUGGAGAGAGGUACGCGGAAUGCGCGGUGUAGCGGUGAAAUGCUUAGAUAUCGCGCAGAACCCCGAUUGCGAAGGCAGCGUACCGGCUCCACACUGACGCUGAGGCACGAAAGCGUGGGUAUCGAACAGGAUUAGAUACCCUAGUAGUC
RNAcentral lists this ribosomal RNA (459 nucleotides) under uncultured bacterium. RNAcentral describes it as "partial 16S ribosomal RNA". It matches the Rfam family "Bacterial small subunit ribosomal RNA", at positions 338 to 795 of the family's 1533-position model. The record is from RNAcentral.